This 107-nucleotide ribosomal RNA is filed under the name Streptomyces albus. RNAcentral describes it as "23S ribosomal RNA". Lineage: Bacteria; Bacillati; Actinomycetota; Actinomycetes; Kitasatosporales; Streptomycetaceae. The record is from RNAcentral.
CGUCAAACAUCGAGCAUCGUGAUGCUAAGGCCGUGAAGCCGUUCCGGACCCUUCGGGGAAUGGAAAGUGGUGGAGCCGCCGGCCCAAGCGGUUAGUAGGUGAGUGAU